RNAcentral lists this ribosomal RNA (253 nucleotides) under uncultured bacterium. Its description in RNAcentral is "partial 16S ribosomal RNA". It matches the Rfam family "Bacterial small subunit ribosomal RNA", at positions 524 to 776 of the family's 1533-position model. RNAcentral also lists the same sequence under 2 other names. The record is from RNAcentral.
CACGUAGGGCGCAAGCGUUGUCCGGAAUUAUUGGGCGUAAAGAGCUCGUAGGCGGUCUGCUACGUCCGCUGUGAAAACCUAGGGCUUAACCCUGGGCUUGCAGUAGAUACGGGCAGACUAGAGGUAGGUAGGGGAGAAUGGAAUUCCCGGUGUAGCGGUGAAAUGCGCAGAUAUCGGGAGGAACACCGGUGGCGAAGGCGGUUCUCUGGGCCUUACCUGACGCUGAGGAGCGAAAGCGUGGGGAGCAAACAGG